This 483-nucleotide ribosomal RNA is filed under the name uncultured bacterium. RNAcentral's name for it is "partial 16S ribosomal RNA". It matches the Rfam family "Bacterial small subunit ribosomal RNA", at positions 28 to 507 of the family's 1533-position model. The record is from RNAcentral.
GACGAACGCUGGCGGCGUGCUUAACACAUGCAAGUCGAACGCUGAAGCUCAGCUUUUGUUGGGUGGAUGUGUGGCGAACGGGUGAGUAACACGUGAGUAACCUGCCCCCUUCUUUGGGAUAACGCCCGGAAACGGGUGCUAAUACUGGAUAUUCACUGGUCUUCGCAUGGGGGUUGGUGGAAAGGGUUUUUCUGGUGGGGGAUGGGCUCGCGGCCUAUCAGCUUGUUGGUGGGGUGAUGGCCUACCAAGGCUUUGACGGGUGGCCGGCCUGAGAGGGUGACCGGUCACAUUGGGACUGAGAUACGGCCCAGACUCCUACGGGAGGCGGCAGUGGGGAAUAUUGCACAAUGGGCGCAAGCCUGAUGCAGCGACGCCGCGUGAGGGAUGGAGGCCUUCGGGUUGUGAACCUCUUUCGCUCAUGGUCAAGCCGCAACAAUGGUUGUGGUGAGGGUAGUGGGUAAAGAAGCGCCGGCUAACUACGUG